UGAGGUAGAGGUCGCGAUAUUCAUGAGUAUGAUCGACGAGAUGAAAAAGCAUUACAGACUCGAUUAAAAAAGGGAAUAUUGCCGAAGUGUUGGUAAGCUUUUUAUUGCUAAUGCUGGGGCUGCUAUCGAAAGGUGCAGAACUGUCACGUCUAAAAAGGCGUGUUGAGCUAUCU
RNAcentral lists this non-coding RNA (173 nucleotides) under uncultured Rummeliibacillus sp. RNAcentral's name for it is "Lysine riboswitch". It matches the Rfam family "Lysine riboswitch aptamer". From Rfam's summary of the family: Riboswitches are metabolite binding domains within certain messenger RNAs that serve as precision sensors for their corresponding targets. Allosteric rearrangement of mRNA structure is mediated by ligand binding, and this results in modulation of gene expression. The record is from RNAcentral. Lineage: Bacteria; Bacillati; Bacillota; Bacilli; Caryophanales; Caryophanaceae.